ACGGGGUCAGCAGGCGCGAAAACUUUACACUACACGAAAGUGUGAUAAGGGAAUUCCAAGUGUGCUUAUACCAUAAGCACUUUUUCGGAGCGCAAAAAGCUCCGGGAAUAAGGGGUGGGCAAGACUAGUGCCAGCCGCCGCGGUAAAACUAGCAUCUCGAGUGGCAGUCACAAUUAUUGGGCUUAGAGCGUCCGUAGCUCGUUCGGAAAGUCUCUGGUGAAAUCCUACGGCUUAACCGUAGGGCGCGCCGGAGAAACUACCGAGCUAGAGGGCAGGAGAGGUCGGGGGUACGUCUGGGGUAGGGGUGAAAUCCUAUAAUCCUAGACGGACCAACAGUGGCGAAGGCGCCCGACAUGAAUGCGCCUGACAGUGAGGGACGAGAGCCAAGAGCGCGAAACGGAUUAGAUACCCGUGUAGUCUUGGCCGUAAACGAUGCUGACUAGGUGGGGUGUGACCUUAGUGGUCAUGCUAUGCCGAAGGGAAACCGUUAAGUCAGCCGCCUGGGGAGUACGUCCGCAAGGAUGAAACUUAAAGGAAUUGGCGGGGGAGCAC
This 552-nucleotide ribosomal RNA is filed under the name uncultured archaeon. RNAcentral describes it as "bacterial SSU rRNA". It matches the Rfam family "Archaeal small subunit ribosomal RNA", at positions 325 to 879 of the family's 1478-position model. The record is from RNAcentral.